CUGCAUUCUGUUCUGCAAAAAACUGAGCUUCUUCCGGAGUAAAAAUUCAGAGGGUCCCUUGCCAGAACAGCUUCAGAUUAUAAACACAGCGUCCGACAGUAGGAUCAUCAGGCAGAUCACCAAUGGUUACUGAAACUACACAAGGAGUUCAGCUUGCUGUCACACAUCCAGCAAAUAACAUGAUCAGCGCCUCUUAGAGCAGGAAGAAGCAGUGUAUA
This is a long non-coding RNA of Eptesicus fuscus (big brown bat), 218 nucleotides long. RefSeq lists it as uncharacterized. The transcript is spliced from 3 exons. Lineage: Eukaryota; Metazoa; Chordata; Mammalia; Chiroptera; Vespertilionidae. The record is from RefSeq and is a predicted model, not a curated record.